AUACAGAGGGUGCAAGCGUUAAUCGGAUUUACUGGGCGUAAAGCGCGCGUAGGUGGCUAAUUAAGUCAAAUGUGAAAUCCCCGAGCUUAACUUGGGAAUUGCAUUCGAUACUGGUUAGCUAGAGUAUGGGAGAGGAUGGUAGAAUUCCAGGUGUAGCGGUGAAAUGCGUAGAGAUCUGGAGGAAUACCGAUGGCGAAGGCAGCCAUCUGGCCUAAUACUGACACUGAGGUGCGAAAGCAUGGGGAGCAAACAGGAUUAGAUACCCUGGUAGUCCAUGCCGUAAACGAUGUCUACUAGCCGUUGGGGCCCUUGAGGCUUUAGUGGCGCAGCUAACGCGAUAAGUAGACCGCCUGGGGAGUACGGUCGCAAGACUAAGACUCAAAUGAAUUGACGGGG
This 396-nucleotide ribosomal RNA is filed under the name uncultured bacterium. RNAcentral describes it as "partial 16S ribosomal RNA". It matches the Rfam family "Bacterial small subunit ribosomal RNA", at positions 523 to 918 of the family's 1533-position model. The record is from RNAcentral.